This 69-nucleotide transfer RNA is filed under the name Ictidomys tridecemlineatus (thirteen-lined ground squirrel). RNAcentral describes it as "Spermophilus tridecemlineatus (thirteen-lined ground squirrel) tRNA". It matches the Rfam family "tRNA". Rfam says of the family: Transfer RNA (tRNA) molecules are approximately 80 nucleotides in length. Their secondary structure includes four short double-helical elements and three loops (D, anti-codon, and T loops). Further hydrogen bonds mediate the characteristic L-shaped molecular structure. tRNAs have two regions of fundamental functional importance: the anti-codon, which is responsible for specific mRNA codon recognition, and the 3' end, to which the tRNAs corresponding amino acid is attached (by aminoacyl-tRNA synthetases). tRNAs cope with the degeneracy of the genetic code in two manners: having more than one tRNA (with a specific anti-codon) for a particular amino acid; and 'wobble' base-pairing, i.e. permitting non-standard base-pairing at the 3rd anti-codon position. Lineage: Eukaryota; Metazoa; Chordata; Mammalia; Rodentia; Sciuridae. The record is from Rfam by way of RNAcentral.
GGGGUUGUGGCUCAGUGGUAGAGCGCUUGCUUGGCAAGUGUGAGACACUAAGUUAGAUCUUCAGUACCA